UGGCUGGCUAGGCCAGUGUGCCCUUCUUCC
RNAcentral lists this non-coding RNA (30 nucleotides) under Homo sapiens (human). Lineage: Eukaryota; Metazoa; Chordata; Mammalia; Primates; Hominidae. The record is from RNAcentral.